GUCCACGCUGUAAACGAUGGGCACUAGGUGUCGCGGGCUUUGACUCACGCGGUGCCGUAGCCAACGCGUUAAGUGCCCCGCCUGGGGAGUACGGCCGCAAGGCUAAAACUCAAAGGAAUUGACGGGGGCCCGCACAAGCGGUGGAGCAUGUGGUUUAAUUCGACGCAACGCGCAGAACCUUACCCGGGCUAGAAAACUAGGAACCUGUCAGAAACGACGGGGUGCCCGCAAGGGAACCUAGGUUCAGGUGCUGCAUGGCUGUCGU
This 265-nucleotide ribosomal RNA is filed under the name uncultured bacterium. Its description in RNAcentral is "partial 16S ribosomal RNA". It matches the Rfam family "Bacterial small subunit ribosomal RNA", at positions 793 to 1055 of the family's 1533-position model. The record is from RNAcentral.